Molecule: long non-coding RNA, 1786 nt
Organism: Cyprinus carpio (common carp)
Lineage: Eukaryota; Metazoa; Chordata; Actinopteri; Cypriniformes; Cyprinidae
Source: Ensembl
AGAUGGCUAAACUCAAACUAAAACAUUGGAUCAUAAUAUGCGCUGUCAUAGUAACACUGUUCCUUAUUCAUACACAAGGUUGGUAACUGUAGAAUAAAGACAAUAUUUGCAUUAAUAUAUCUGCUAAUCAAGAGGUAAAUAAUAUGUCUUUUUCAGUUAUAAGACAAAGCAAGUUGAUCCGAACAGAAAAACGAGAGCUCCUGGUGUCAACAGAGAUCCCAGCUGAGCACAUUGACCCCGCCUCCAUAGAUCUUACUGGACUCGUCAACACACUCAUCAAUGCUUCACAACAAGGUUCACAGCAUCUUUUCUCCUUACUCAGUGUGACAUCACACAGUUCACUCUCUCUCCACAAGCUCACGCUGCUGGUCUACAAUAGUAACUACCCUUAUCCACACAGCCAAAUCACACUGUAACUACAGCACUAAUACUGCACAAAUAUGAUGUAAUUCUGUGUGUGUUUGCAUGCGUGUAUCUGUGUGUCAUGUACACAUGUAUGGGUGUGUGUAGUCUCAGACUUUCAGGACAUUGAGAGCAGUUUAUUUCCAUUAAGAUACUGUUACUGUCUGACAAACAAGACCAAUGACCUCACAGGUGAAAAACUUCCUUCAUUAUACACUAAUAGCUUCUCUAUCUAUCUAUCUAUCUAUCUAUCUAUCUAAUCACUUUAGUGUUUUUCAGAUUUCACAGCUAUUCUGUUGGAUGUAAUGGGAAACUCCACCAGUUACCUGCAAGAACUAUUUAAGUCCAGCUCUAUCCUCUCAGUCAGUCAGAAGAACAGCUCUGAUUGCAUCUAUAUCUGUGUCAUGGCUGGAAAGUCAGACAGUGAUCUGUCUCAGCUCUGGGACAUGGGCUCAGUCAGACCUCUGUUUAAUCAGACCAUCACAGAGGAAAUACCCAGAGGUAAUGUGACAUUUCCAUUGCUGCCCUUUGUAGUGUGGCAUGACCUCCCAAACACUAGUGAACUGGUACUAUGGCCUAAACCCAGUACAGAUUCCCACAGGAGCAGAGUACCUACCUCUACAAUAACAUCAACACCACUUAUUAGAUCAACAGCAGCUCCUGAAACUACCUUCACUGUGACGACCACCACAACCUCACCCACUAGUGAUCUCACAACUGCUGUGAUCACCCAGCCAAAAGCUGUAACGGUAACCACAAAUGCCAUCACUCCAAUGAUGACCAUGACAGUUUCACCGCCAACGCAGAGACAAACAACUACGACAGGCAUCCAGCUGCUCACUAAAGUAUCUCAUACAGAAAAACCAGGAUGUCCAUGGAGAAUAGAGCUAUUUCAUCAAGCAAGUGAGAAUGAGGACCUGAAAGAGACCCUUGAAGAGGAGCUGAUCUGGGGCAGGGCGACCAUCAGCUCAGUGAAGCUGCAGCCGUGUGUGUUUGAGCUGUGCAAGUUUUACUCUCAAUGUGUGUGCAGAGGAUUCAGUCACAGAGCAGCAGAGUUACAGCGAUAUUGUGUGGAUAGCCAUCGCUGGUAUGAGAGACAUACAGCAGAGGUCUGCAGUCGUAUGAGGAGAGUCACUUUUUCCAAAAAUCUGAAACAGAAAUGUCUGGCAAGAAUGUGUGUGAAGAUGUAAGACAAGAACUGAGUUCAUUUGCGGGGUGACAGACAUCUGAACCACCUGAACUAAAAUUUAUGUACAGUAUGUUUGAGAGAAACUGGGUUCUGUUAAAUACUGAACUGCAUUGUCUUCAUUGAAUCUGUAUAGUCUAUGCAUCUAGUGUCUAAAUUGCACUUCUGAAUAUAAAUAAAACCAAACAUAUUUACCCA